CGGCCGCAAGCUGGAGAGGGCUCCGAGCCGGGCUCGGAACUCGGGCCGUCUGACGGGCUGGUGCCCACAGGGUCGUUGCCGCCACCCACCGGCAAGUCGCAGACCCGGCCUGAGCCUCCCUGGACCCUUCCUGGCCUCUUCCUCCUGUCCUGAAGGUACCGCGGCGCCAGGAGAAGGCGACCGCGUCCACACCCCGCCGUGACGGAGAGGGGACCGCACCCUCCCCCGGAACACCCCAAGAUCCCUGGAAAUGCAGUAUUAACGUAGAAAAGAUGUUUUACUUCCGUGUUUUGGCUAGGAAGGUAAUAAGGUCGAGACAAAAUAAAGACUCACAACUGGCCUUUAAUCUGGGGAUAAGAAUGAAGUCUGAGCUAUCUCUUCCAAAAACUGUUGGUGUGAGUGUAAACAAAGGUGACUGUUUUACUUCUAGGGAUCUACAAAUGGGAUGCAUUUCAAACACUUCUUGUAAUAAAGCAUAACAA
This 482-nucleotide long non-coding RNA is filed under the name Pongo abelii (Sumatran orangutan). RNAcentral's name for it is "lincRNA". The record is from RNAcentral. Lineage: Eukaryota; Metazoa; Chordata; Mammalia; Primates; Hominidae.